Molecule: ribosomal RNA, 529 nt
Filed under: uncultured bacterium
Lineage: Bacteria
Description: partial 16S ribosomal RNA
Rfam family: Bacterial small subunit ribosomal RNA
Source: RNAcentral
UGGGGAAUACUGCACAAUGGGCGAAAGCCUGAUGCAGCAACGCCGCGUGAGUGAUGAAGGCCUUCGGGUUGUAAAGCUCUGUCUUUUGGGACGAUAAUGACGGUACCAAAGGAGGAAGCCACGGCUAACUACGUGCCAGCAGCCGCGGUAAUACGUAGGUGGCAAGCGUUGUCCGGAUUUACUGGGCGUAAAGGAUGCGUAGGCGGAUUUUUAAGUGAGAUGUGAAAUACCCGGGCUUAACUUGGGUGCUGCAUUUCAAACUGGGAAUCUAGAGUGCGGGAGAGGAGAAUGGAAUUCCUAGUGUAGCGGUGAAAUGCGUAGAGAUUAGGAAGAACACCAGUGGCGAAGGCGAUUCUCUGGACCGUAACUGACGCUGAGGCAUGAAAGCGUGGGUAGCAAACAGGAUUAGAUACCCUGGUAGUCCACGCCGUAAACGAUGAGUACUAGGUGUAGGAGGUAUCGACCCCUUCUGUGCCGCAGUUAACACAAUCAAGUACUCCGCCCGGGAAGUACGAUCGCAAGAUUAAAA